This is a non-coding RNA of Pseudomonas chlororaphis subsp. aureofaciens 30-84, 132 nucleotides long. The record is from Rfam. NCBI's taxonomy places the organism in Bacteria, Pseudomonadati, Pseudomonadota, Gammaproteobacteria, Pseudomonadales, Pseudomonadaceae.
UUGGUUAGAAAUCAACUCAGGUUGGCGCCGCAAUGACGCCAACGCCACGCUCGCGACGCCGGCAGCGAGCACCAACGGCAGAAGCAUUCUGCCCGGCCUCAAACGAGGCCGACGGGACAUAAGACAGUCAAC